RNAcentral lists this transfer RNA (75 nucleotides) under Candidatus Collierbacteria bacterium RIFCSPHIGHO2_01_FULL_50_25. RNAcentral describes it as "tRNA-Ile". It matches the Rfam family "tRNA". Rfam says of the family: Transfer RNA (tRNA) molecules are approximately 80 nucleotides in length. Their secondary structure includes four short double-helical elements and three loops (D, anti-codon, and T loops). RNAcentral also lists the same sequence under 2 other names. The record is from RNAcentral. Lineage: Bacteria; Candidatus Collieribacteriota.
GGGCGACUAGCUCAAUGGUAGAGCGAACGCCUUAUACACGUUUGGUUCCAGGUUCGAGCCCUGGGUCGCCCACCU